GCAGCAGUGGGGAAUAUUGCACAAUGGGGGAAACCCUGAUGCAGCGACGCCGCGUGGAGGAAGAAGGUCUUCGGAUUGUAAACUCCUGUUGUUGAGGAAGAUAAUGACGGUACUCAACAAGGAAGUGACGGCUAACUACGUGCCAGCAGCCGCGGUAAAACGUAGGUCACAAGCGUUGUCCGGAAUUACUGGGUGUAAAGGGAGCGCAGGAGGGAAGGCAAGUUGGAAGUGAAAUCCAUGGGCUCAACCCAUGAACUGCUUUCAAAACUGUUUUUCUUGAGUAGUGCAGAGGUAGGCGGAAUUCCCGGUGUAGCGGUGGAAUGCGGAGAUAUCGGGAGGAACACCAGUGGCGAAGGCGGCCUACUGGGCACCAACUGACGCUGAGGCUCGAAAGUGUGCGUAGCAAACAGGAUUAGAUACCCUGGUAGUGCACACUGUGGCCGAUGUUUACUAGGUGUUGGAGGAUUGACCCCUUCAGUGCCGCAGUUAACACAAUAAGUAAUCCACCUGGGGAGUACGACCGCAAGGUUG
RNAcentral lists this ribosomal RNA (531 nucleotides) under uncultured Faecalibacterium sp. Its description in RNAcentral is "bacterial SSU rRNA". It matches the Rfam family "Bacterial small subunit ribosomal RNA", at positions 348 to 896 of the family's 1533-position model. The record is from RNAcentral. Lineage: Bacteria; Bacillati; Bacillota; Clostridia; Eubacteriales; Oscillospiraceae.